UCAGGAUGAACGCUAGCGACAGGCCUAACACAUGCAAGUCGAGGGGCAGCGCGGGAGAAGCUUGCUUUCCUGGCGGCGACCGGCGCACGGGUGCGUAACAGGUGUGCAAUCUGUCCAUAGUCGGGGAAUAGCCCAGCGAAAGUUGGAUUAAUGCUCCAUGUGAAUCGAAGCCGCAUGACUUUGAUUUGAAACGUAAGGACUAUGGGUGAGCACGCUUCUGAUUAGAUAGUUGGUGGGGUAACGGCUCACCAAGUCGACGAUCAGUAGGGGUUCUGAGAGGAAGGUCCCCCACAUUGGAACUGAGACACGGUCCAAACUCCUACGGGAGGCAGCAGUGAGGAAUAUUGGUCAAUGGGCGAGAGCCUGAACCAGCCAAGUCGCGUGAAGGAAUGAAGGUUCUAUGGAUUGUAAACUUCUUUUGUCCGAGGGUAAAAAAGGUCACGUGUGACUUCUUGCAAGUAUCGGACGAAUAAGCAUCGGCUAACUCCGUGCCAGCAGCAGC
This 502-nucleotide ribosomal RNA is filed under the name uncultured bacterium. Its description in RNAcentral is "bacterial SSU rRNA". It matches the Rfam family "Bacterial small subunit ribosomal RNA", at positions 24 to 518 of the family's 1533-position model. The record is from RNAcentral.